GACGAACGCUGGCGGCGUGCUUAACACAUGCAAGUCGAGCGGUAAGGCCCUUUCGGGGGUACGACGAGCGGCGAACGGGUGAGUAACACGUGGGUGACCUGCCCUCAGCUCUGGGAUAAGCCUGGGAAACCGGGUCUAAUACCGGAUAUGACUCCAUGACGCAUGUUGUGGGGUGGAAAGCCUUGUGCGGCUGAGGAUGGGCCCGCGGCCUAUCAGCUUGUUGGUGGGGUGAUGGCCUACCAAGGCGACGACGGGUAGCCGGCCUGAGAGGGCGACCGGCCACACUGGGACUGAGACACGGCCCAGACUCCUACGGGAGGCAGCAGUGGGGAAUCUUGCGCAAUGGGCGAAAGCCUGACGCAGCGACGCCGCGUGAGGGAUGACGGC
This 387-nucleotide ribosomal RNA is filed under the name uncultured bacterium. RNAcentral describes it as "bacterial SSU rRNA". It matches the Rfam family "Bacterial small subunit ribosomal RNA", at positions 28 to 415 of the family's 1533-position model. The record is from RNAcentral.